AGAGGCUGGUGAGAGGCGUUGGGCCAGUGACAUGCAAGCACACAAUUGCACACACAGCCAUGGGGGUCAGUCGUUGGGAUCUAGGCUGGCAUCUUCCACUCCUGUAGCUGCAGAGGCUUAAACUGGCUACUGAUGUGGCUCUCAUACUCCGUUGGGGGCCAAGGAGAGAAAGGGGGCAGGAGUUAGAUGGCUGGCUUCAACAAACAUGAAUCCCUGUGCGACCAAAGCUGGUAAAUUUGCAGGGGUUCUGUAGCAGCUGUGCUGGCUGUUGAUCACUUCUUCAGUGGCUACAGCUGUUUGGUUUGUAGAGGAGGUCACUGUGAACUGUGAUAGCUCCCACAGUGCCCCUGCUUUUCUUCCUUGCUCCUAACCAGGUCUACGUCUCUCAGCUUUGCUGGUUUGGAUGGUAUGAAACUGAAAUGAGAACUUCAUUUGCUGCCCUGGAAGGCUGGAAAAGCUGGUUGCUCGCCCCACUCUUUCUUCCUUGCCAUCCUUGUGAGCGUGAAGUGGUAUCUCAUUGUGGUUUUGGUUUGCGCUUCCCCAACAAUUGGAUAUAGAAGAUUAGCCCUGAGCAAACAUCUGCUGCCAAUCCUCCUCUUUUUGCUGAGAAAGACUGGCUCUGAGCUAACAUCCGUGCCCAUCUUCCUCUACUUUAUGUGGAAUGCCUGCCACAGCAUGGCUCAACGGGCGGUCUGUAGGUUCACAACCGGGAUUCAAACCAGCGUACCCUGGGCUGCCGAAGCAGAACGUGCAAACUUAACCACUGUGCCACCAGACGAUCCCAACCCUCCUGCUUUUUUUUGGGUUUAAAUUUCAUCUAUUUUUCUAAUUCUUGAAAUGGAUGCUUAGAUAAUUGAUUUUCAGCAUUUUUCCUUUCUUAUAUACAUUUAAAGAUAUGACUAUCCAUUAAAGCAUGGUUUAACUGCAACUUACAAUUUUCAAAGUAUAAUAUUUUAAUAAUUAUUAGUUCACAUAUUUUCUGUUAUGAUAUUUUCUUUAACAUAUACUUGACUUAUAGUGCAUUUCUUAAUUUCUCUUUAUUUCUUAAUAUGUAUUAAUUUCCAAAUAUGUGGUGAUCUUUAGUUAUCUAUCUCUUGUUAAUUUCUCACUUAAUUGCACUGUGGUACUGGACAUAUUAUAUACCAUAUCAAUCUUUUGAAAGUUUUUGAUAUUUCAUAGCAUAGCUUAUAAUCAAUUUUUUGCAAAUGUUUUAUACACAGUUGACAGUAAUAUGUAUUCUAUAGCUAUUGAGUGCAAUCUAGUAUGUCAUAUUUGUUAAUUGCAUUGUUCCAAUCUUGUAUCUUUUAUAUUUUUCAUCUACUUAAUCUAUCAGUUAAUGAGAAAAGUUGUUAAAAUGCUCAGUGUGAUUGUCGAUUUGUCUAUUUCUCCUUAGAGUUCUAUCACUUUUAGCUUUAUAUAUUUUGAGGAUUUGUAAUCAGGUGCAUACACAUUUAAAAUUUUUAUCUUCCUAGGGAAUUAAAUCAUUGUGAAAGUUUCCUCUUAAUCCAGAGUAAUGGUUUCUACAUUUUGUCUACUUUGUCUGAUAUUAAUAUAGUUACAACCACUUUCUUUUGGCUAAUGUUUGUGUUGUGUAUUUAUUUUGCAUCCCUUUAUUAUAAACCUUUUAAUCCUGUUUCAGUUAUCCAUCCAUGAGUAACAAACCACCCCAAACCUUAGUGACUUAAAAACAGCAAUGUGUUCUCUCUCUUGGUUCUGUGGUUGAUUUGGCUCAGCUCAGCAGUUUUCAUUUAGGAGGGGAUCGCUCAUGUAGCUGCAGACUUACGGUAGCAGUUGCUGGAAUCAUGUGAGGGCUUGAUUUGGCUGGAUAGCCAAUCAAUUUUUUCGUGAAUUAUCUCCAGAUACAGACGAGACUUGUUGAGUACAUUACUUGGAUACAGUUCCUUUCAAUCUAUAUUUCUAAAGGCAUGGUAAUUUUAGAAUAUUUGUACUUCUUUCAGGAUGACCAUCUUUCCCCAGAGCACAUUUGCCAAGAAAUUAAGUUGGAUGAUACAAGGCUUAUUUUGACUUACCCUUGAAAGUCACAAAGUACCACUUACAUUAAAUUGUAUUGGUCCAAAGCAAGCCACGAAUCCAUCCCAGAUUCAAGAGGAGGAGAUUACAAAAGAGCAUGAAUAUAAGGAGGUCUCAAACCACCACCAUUGUGUGUGCAAAGCGCCUUAUUCCCAGGAAGCCCAAAGACUGCUCCCGGUCCAGGUCUCUUGUAGUGAGCGGGUCAUAGAGACACACUACAUUUGUGGGAUCAGAUUCAACUGUCAAAGAGGAACCUGCCUGGCUCCACCAAAACCAAGUACAAAUCGCAGGAUUCCUCUUCGAUGGCUGAGUCCACAGCAUCUGCCGAAUCCUCUCUCUAUGGCUUGCCACUUGGUCCUAAGGGCUUGUUGGUCUUCACCAGAAGCAGCUUCCAAAUUGCUUCAACCUCAGAGACCAGCAAUUGUGGCCUCGUCAGCCUGCCAGAUCCUGUUGUUGCUCACCUAUGUGCAAAGCAAAGAACUUUCAAGAAGGUCAGAGAAUUCCCCGACAUCAGUUUUUGGAUUCCUUGUUCCUCCCUUGAAUGUGAAUACAGUAAAAU
Equus asinus (donkey) is the source of this 2590-nucleotide long non-coding RNA. The record is from Ensembl. NCBI's taxonomy places the organism in Eukaryota, Metazoa, Chordata, Mammalia, Perissodactyla, Equidae.